RNA transcript from Gorilla gorilla gorilla (western lowland gorilla), 2006 nucleotides. RefSeq lists it as uncharacterized. The transcript is spliced from 7 exons. The record is from RefSeq and is a predicted model, not a curated record. Lineage: Eukaryota; Metazoa; Chordata; Mammalia; Primates; Hominidae.
AGCAGCAGCAUUAGAUUCUCAUAGGAGAACGCACCCUGUUGUGAACCGGGCAUGUGAGGGAUCUAGGUUGCGCUGUCCUUAUGAGAAUCUAAUACCUAUUGAUCUGUCACUUUCUCCCAUCACGCUCAGGUGGGACCAUCCAGUUUCAGGAAAACAAGCUUAACACGCCCACUGAUUCUACAUUAUGCUCCUACCUCCCGGCAACCUCGCCAGGCCCAGAACUCUCUCCAGUCAGCCUCUACAGACCAAGCUCAUGACUCACAAUGGCCUAUUUAGGCCCAUACCCUACCUCACGGCAGUCUCCGCAGAUGAGCCUACUGCCUCACAACAGCCUCCACAGGCACAGCUCCAUCGUUACAAUGGCCUCUUUAGACCCAGCUCCUGCCUCCCAGCCUUCUCUCCAGGCCCUGAAGUUUCUCCGUGGGACCAUCCAGUUUCAGGAAAACAAGCUUAAUACGCCCACUGAUUCUACAUUAUGCUCCUACCUCCCGGCAGCCUCUCCAGGCCCAGAACUUUCUCCAGUCAGCCUCUACAGACCAAGCUCAUGACUCACAAUGGCCUAUUUAGGCCCAUACCCUACCUCAUGGCAGUCUCCGCAGAUGAGCCUACUGCCUCACAACAGCCUCCACAGGCACAGCUCCAUCGUUACAAUGGCCUCUUUAGACCCAGCCCCUGCCUCCCAGCCUUCUCUCCAGGCCCUGAAGUUUCUCCAUAAGUUGAGGCAGCUGGGACUGUAGGGUCUCCCUCUGUUGUCCAAGGCUGGAGGGUAGUAGUGCUAUCGCAGCUGACUGCAGCCUCAACCUUCCAGGCUGAAGCGAUCCUCCCACCUCAACCUCCCACGUGGCUGAGACUACAGGUGCUUGCCACUAUGCCCAACUAAUAUUUGGAAUUUUCGUAUACGUGGAUUCCAGAGGGGUGACAGCGAAACGUGGGACCAUCCAGUUUCAGGAAAACAAGCUUAAUACGCCCACUGAUUCUACAUUAUGAUUCUUCAGGCCCAGCAUCUGCCUCACUGUGGACCCCCCAAGCCAAGCUCCCAACCUUUCAGCAGCUUUUACACACCCAGCUCCCGCCUGCCAGUGGCCUCUUCAGGCCCAUGGGGCUCAUUCCUCACAACAGCCUUUCCAGGCCCAGCUUUUCCCUUCCGGCGGCCUCUCUGGGCUGAGAACCUCCUCAAGUCGGCCUCUCCAGACCCACUUGCACCCUCCGGGCGUCCUCUCUGGGCGAAGCUCCUCUUCCUGGCUGCGUCUCCAGGCCCGACUCCUGCCUCUCAACAACCUCUUUGGACUCAGUGCCUACCCAUCUCCUGGCGUCCUUCGUCGGCCCACAGCUUCCUCAAGCCAAGCUCCCCAGGCCCAGGUCAGGCCUCACGGUGGCCUCUCCACGAUGAGCUCCUGCCCUCCCAUGGCACCUGCAGGCCCCAAAUGGUCUCCGGUCGGUGGGCUCCUCCACGCCAAGCUUGGGCCUCCCGGCGACCUCUGCAGGCCCAAGUUGUCCUGAAGUCGGCAUCUCCCGGCCCUGCCUCCCAGCAAGUAAGCAAGCUCUUUUGGCUCAACUCCUGCCCAGCUCCCAACCGCCUUUGUAGGUCCCGAACUUUCUCCAGCCAAGUUCUUUGGGCCUAAUUCCUGCCGCCCGGUGGCCUGUACGGGCCCAGCAAUGGUUGGAGAACGGCCUCUGCAGGUCCCGCUCUUGCCUCCCAGGGGCCUCUCCAGGCCCAGCUCUUGCCCCCACGGCGGCCUCCCGGGGCCAAGUCCCUGCCUGCCUCCCAGCAGCCCACGUGCGGCCCAGCUCCUCCCUCACGGUGGCCUGUUGAUGCCCAUGCCUCUAGUACCCUGCCCAGAGGCAUGAGCCCCUGCCACACACUGGCUCCUCCCACGCUGAGAGAGGUCAGCGUGAGCCCUUGCCUCACACCGGCCCCUCCCACGCUGAGAGGGGUCAGCGUGAGCCCCUUGCCUCACACCGGCCCCUCCCACGCUGAGAGAGGUCGGCGUGAGCCCUUGCCUCAC